This 77-nucleotide transfer RNA is filed under the name Subdoligranulum variabile. Its description in RNAcentral is "tRNA-Val". It matches the Rfam family "tRNA". Rfam says of the family: Transfer RNA (tRNA) molecules are approximately 80 nucleotides in length. Their secondary structure includes four short double-helical elements and three loops (D, anti-codon, and T loops). Further hydrogen bonds mediate the characteristic L-shaped molecular structure. tRNAs have two regions of fundamental functional importance: the anti-codon, which is responsible for specific mRNA codon recognition, and the 3' end, to which the tRNAs corresponding amino acid is attached (by aminoacyl-tRNA synthetases). tRNAs cope with the degeneracy of the genetic code in two manners: having more than one tRNA (with a specific anti-codon) for a particular amino acid; and 'wobble' base-pairing, i.e. permitting non-standard base-pairing at the 3rd anti-codon position. Lineage: Bacteria; Bacillati; Bacillota; Clostridia; Eubacteriales; Oscillospiraceae. The record is from RNAcentral. RNAcentral also lists the same sequence under 20 other names.
GGAUGAUUAGCUCAGCUGGUUAGAGCGCUGCGUUCACAUCGCAGAGGUCGAGGGUUCGAGUCCCCCAUCCUCCACCA